This 125-nucleotide small RNA is filed under the name Marmota monax (woodchuck). Lineage: Eukaryota; Metazoa; Chordata; Mammalia; Rodentia; Sciuridae. The record is from RNAcentral.
GCUGGGUGUGUUGGUGCACACCUGUAAUCCCAGCAGUUCGGGAGGCUGAGGCAGGAGGACCGCCAGUUCAAAGCUAGCCUCAGCAAUGGCGAGGUGCUGAGCAACUCAGUGAGACCCUGUCUCUA